Molecule: ribosomal RNA, 433 nt
Filed under: uncultured bacterium
Lineage: Bacteria
Description: partial 16S ribosomal RNA
Rfam family: Bacterial small subunit ribosomal RNA
Source: RNAcentral
AACGAACGCUGGCGGCAUGCCUAACACAUGCAAGUCGAACGAGACCUUCGGGUCUAGUGGCGCACGGGUGCGUAACGCGUGGGAACCUGCCCUUAGGUUCGGAAUAACUCCCCGAAAGGGGUGCUAAUACCGGAUAAUGUCUUCGGACCAAAGAUUUAUCGCCUUUGGAUGGGCCCGCGUUGGAUUAGCUAGUUGGUAGGGUAAAAGCCUACCAAGGCGAGGAUCCAUAGCUGGUCUGAGAGGAUGAUCAACCACACUGGGACUGAGACACGGCCCAGACUCUGACGGGAGGCAGCAGUGGGGAAUAUUGGACCCUGGGCCAGAGCCUGAUCCAGCCGCGCCGCGUGAGUGAUGCAGGCCUUAGGGUAGUAAAGCCGUUUUCCCCGCGAUGAUAAUGACGGUAACGGGAGAAUAAGCACCGGCUAACUCCGGG